Molecule: ribosomal RNA, 408 nt
Filed under: uncultured fungus
Lineage: Eukaryota; Fungi
Description: eukaryotic LSU rRNA
Source: RNAcentral
AGAGUUAAAUAGUACGUGAAAUUGUUGAAAGGGAAACGAUUGAAGUCAGUCAUGCUAGUGAAAAAUCAGUUUGACGGGUUUUGAGUUCAGGAGUAGAGGCAGGGUCAAACCGUUUCUUUUUUGAACUUGGGAUUUGUUAGAUGUACUUUUUCUUUGGCAGGUCAGCGUCGAUUUCGGAGGUUGUAAAAUACUCGGGGGAAAGUAACUCUGCUUCGGGAGAGUAUUAUAGACCCUGGGGGAUGCAGCCUGCGGGAUCGAGGAUUGCAGCAAAUGCCUUUGGCUUGUCGCCUAUCUCUGGUCGUUACCUCUCUUGUGACAACAUUCUUGCCACCGGAGGGUACUAAUGCCCAUUACUUAGAGCGAUCGAAAAUUUUGCUAAGGAUGUUGACGUAAUGACUUUAAACGACC